GUGCUCGCUUCAGCAACACAUACUAAAAUUAAACUAUAUAGAGAAGAUUAGCAUGGCCCCUGCACAAGAAUGACAUGCAGGCCCGGAGAGAUAGCGCAGCGGUGU
This is a small nuclear RNA of Suncus etruscus (white-toothed pygmy shrew), 105 nucleotides long. Lineage: Eukaryota; Metazoa; Chordata; Mammalia; Eulipotyphla; Soricidae. The record is from RefSeq and is a predicted model, not a curated record.